RNAcentral lists this ribosomal RNA (491 nucleotides) under uncultured bacterium. RNAcentral describes it as "partial 16S ribosomal RNA". It matches the Rfam family "Bacterial small subunit ribosomal RNA", at positions 29 to 506 of the family's 1533-position model. The record is from RNAcentral.
AGUGAACGCUGGCGGUAGGCCUAACACAUGCAAGUCGAACGGCAGCACAGUAAGAGCUUGCUCUUACGGGUGGCGAGUGGCGGACGGGUGAGGAAUACAUCGGAAUCUACUUUUUCGUGGGGGAUAACGUAGGGAAACUUGCGCUAAUACCGCAUACGACCUACGGGUGAAAGCAGGGGAUCUUCGGACCUUGCGCGAUUGAAUGAGCCGAUGUCGGAUUAGCUAGUUGGCGGGGUAAAGGCCCACCAAGGCGACGAUCCGUAGCUGGUCUGAGAGGAUGAUCAGCCACACUGGAACUGAGACACGGUCCAGACUCCUACGGGAGGCAGCAGUGGGGAAUAUUGGACAAUGGGCGCAAGCCUGAUCCAGCCAUACCGCGUGGGUGAAGAAGGCCUUCGGGUUGUAAAGCCCUUUUGUUGGGAAAGAAAAGCAGCAGGUUAAUACCCCGCUGUUCUGACGGUACCCAAAGAAUAAGCACCGGCUAACUUCGU